Molecule: ribosomal RNA, 301 nt
Filed under: uncultured bacterium
Lineage: Bacteria
Description: partial 16S ribosomal RNA
Rfam family: Bacterial small subunit ribosomal RNA
Source: RNAcentral
CAGCAGCCGCGGUAAUACGUAGGUGGCAAGCGUUGUCCGGAAUUAUUGGGCGUAAAGGGCUCGCAGGCGGUUUCUUAAGUCUGAUGUGAAAGCCCCCGGCUCAACCGGGGAGGGUCAUUGGAAACUGGGAAACUUGAGUGCAGAAGAGGAGAGUGGAAUUCCACGUGUAGCGGUGAAAUGCGUAGAGAUGUGGAGGAACACCAGUGGCGAAGGCGACUCUCUGGUCUGUAACUGACGCUGAGGAGCGAAAGCGUGGGGAGCGAACAGGAUUAGAUACCCCAGUAGUCCCUGUCUCUUAUAA